Molecule: long non-coding RNA, 923 nt
Filed under: Betta splendens (Siamese fighting fish)
Lineage: Eukaryota; Metazoa; Chordata; Actinopteri; Anabantiformes; Osphronemidae
Description: lncRNA (ENSBSLG00000010808.1)
Source: RNAcentral
GGGAGCUGUGGAGUGCAGACACAGAAACCUACAGCUACAUGUUUAUUAGUUUCCUGCAGGUAUGGGUUUUGUUAUUUCAUUGUUUUAGACUAUGCUCACCACCUUGUUUAAGCACCUCAUCUUUAUGCUUGUAUGGCUGCCGUGUGGCGCCAACUUUGUAAAUUAUGUUUAGCAAGUUUUGCUGGCUGGGCUCUCACGUUGCCGCAUGCACCGAUGAGGGGGAGCUGUGCAGUGCAGACACGGAAACAUACAUCUACAUGUUUGUUAUUUGUUUCCUGCAGGCCAAUAAAACGAGAAGAUAAAAGUCCAAGCUGGCUUCAGUAGUUUCGUACGGUCAGGGAGAGAGGCUGCAAUGAACAGCGUUACACUAACGGGUUCACUGAAGAAAUGGAACUGAUGGUCACACAGAUUUAUGGAGGCAGACAUCCAAACCUAGAUUGGACCUCCAGGAGAGACGAGUGUGGCCACUGGGACGUGCCCAUUUAUGGACUUAAAGGUGCCCCAACCAACCUUCUUAUCAAGCCUCUCUUCCACCGCUACCACCUCUUAGCGAGCCUCUGGUGGGACGGGUUCAUCCUCUGGCUCUGUCUGUGCUGAGACUUAAUUAUGAUAUGCCACAGCAACGUCAGCCCCAAGUAUUGGCUGAGGUGGAGUCAACUUUAGCAGCAGUGAUGCAGCAUCAUAAUGCACUAGACUGCGCCCUACAGAACCUCGCAGCGCAGAUGAAGGCACUCCCUAAAGUUGUGGGCUGUGAGCUGCCACCUACUCGGGAUUUGCUGGUUAUAGACGGACAUGGAUCUACUCUGCAGCUUGCAUUAUUACACGCCAACUGUUUGAUAAAGGGAAGGGAACAAACUCAAUACUUGGUGGAGGAAAGGUUGUCUGCAAUACAUCUGAAUCUGAACUGUGAUAAAGAAAAAUAA